UGGAAACAGAUGCUAAUACCGGAUAACAACACUAGACGCAUGUCUAGAGUUUAAAAGAUGGUUCUGCUAUCACUCUUGGAUGGACCUGCGGUGCAUUAGCUAGUUGGUAAGGUAACGGCUUACCAAGGCAAUGAUGCAUAGCCGAGUUGAGAGACUGAUCGGCCACAUUGGGACUGAGACACGGCCCAAACUCCACGGGAGGCAGCAGGG
RNAcentral lists this ribosomal RNA (210 nucleotides) under uncultured bacterium. RNAcentral's name for it is "partial 16S ribosomal RNA". It matches the Rfam family "Bacterial small subunit ribosomal RNA", at positions 151 to 354 of the family's 1533-position model. The record is from RNAcentral.